Molecule: ribosomal RNA, 468 nt
Filed under: uncultured bacterium
Lineage: Bacteria
Description: partial 16S ribosomal RNA
Rfam family: Bacterial small subunit ribosomal RNA
Source: RNAcentral
GAUGAACGCUGGCGGCGUGCUUAACACAUGCAAGUCGAACGGUGAAGGCGGAGCUUGCUCUGCUGGAUCAGUGGCGAACGGGUGAGUAACACGUGAGCAAUCUGCCCCUGACUCUGGGAUAAGCGCUGGAAACGGCGUCUAAUACUGGAUACGAGCUGCGAAGGCAUCUUCAGCAGCUGGAAAGAAUUUCGGUCAGGGAUGAGCUCGCGGCCUAUCAGCUUGUUGGUGAGGUAAUGGCUCACCAAGGCGUCGACGGGUAGCCGGCCUGAGAGGGUGACCGGCCACACUGGGACUGAGACACGGCCCAGACUCCUACGGGAGGCAGCAGGGGGGAAUAUUGCACAAUGGGCGAAAGCCUGAUGCAGCAACGCCGCGUGAGGGACGACGGCCUUCGGGUUGUAAACCUCUUUUAGCAGGGAAGAAGCGAAAGUGACGGUACCUGCAGAAAAAGCGCCGGCUAACUACGUG